This is a long non-coding RNA of Pocillopora damicornis (cauliflower coral), 1177 nucleotides long. Lineage: Eukaryota; Metazoa; Cnidaria; Anthozoa; Scleractinia; Pocilloporidae. The record is from RefSeq and is a predicted model, not a curated record.
CAGGAAUAAAAUAAGAACCUGGAGAGAGAUCAAAAGGAAAAGAUUAAUUUUUGCAGCUGGUCUGUAAUUACACAAGAAAGUGGCAUGUUGAGAAUUCCAUCGAAGGUUGUUCAAGUCUAGGAGACUUGCUGACAACUGGGAAUUACGUAUCGCAAUAGAGUCCAAAGAUAAUAUUUCUUAUCCACUUCAGACGAGAGAAACGUGAAACUAUGACGGAGAUGCAUGAAAUUAAAACCACGAUAUUUUAUCAAAACUGAAAGUUAAAAGUCAGUUCACAAAAGGAGACUGUCCUUUGUAUAUUAACAGGUCCGGGCAAGUGACAUUCCGUCCUUGUUACUAGCUCAUUACGUGUGGUAUAUAUCAUUCGUGUUUUCAUUUGUCAUAAAAAAAAAGUUACAUAAAAAAAUAUAUGAAAAUACGGUGGUAUAAGUAGUGAGAAAACAAAUAAUGGAUUAAAAAAAGCUAUAUAUAGCUAAGAACAUGCGCACAGAAAAAACCAUACAAAGGGAAAAAAAUUUUGAUCAUCCCUUUCCUGGCGGUUUACUAGGGAGAAAAUCACGAUAUGUUCUGUUUAAUUCAGCAAAUAUAAGCAAGCUAAAAGGAUUGUCAAUUAUUUGUAAUUUUUUCCAAAGCUGAGAAGGAGAUUAAGAAUUUUUGGAGCAAAAUCCUUAUUAUUCUAAUCCGAUUAUCUUAGUGUAUGAUUUCUUUCACUGUAUUUCCAUGGGAUUAUACCGGAGAUUUUGUUUUCACGACUACGCAACACAAAGAUUGAAAUAAUGAGACAUCUUUGUUACGUGGCAACAAUUUACAAGUAACGUGUAUUGAUCUACUUAGCAGACCCUAUAAAUUUAAGGGAACACAAAACUUCAUCACACAACACCAGUCUGUACUUGCUCCGAAAAGAAAUGUUUUCGUCAAGUUAUGUCUCUUUAGUAACCUGGCACGUGUGGAUAACAAGCUCAAGAGGUUUCACAAAUCGGGACAGACUUAUUGUUAGCUUAAUAUAGUUCUUAGUUAUCUAUUUUUGAAAUGAGCGCUUGGCGUUCCUUAGUGGGUAAUACCACAUACCACAUUGAUGAGGAGGCUAAAAUGAUACAUAAGAACCCAAAGAGACAUUUUCAUGUGAUAGUUACGAUCAUUUGUCAUAAUAAUAAUAAUAAUAAAAUCGCUUCGAAUA